GCCACCGUAGCUCAGUGGGCAGAGCAGACGAUUCGUAAUCGUCAGGUCACCCGUUCAAAUCGGGUCGGUGGCU
RNAcentral lists this transfer RNA (73 nucleotides) under candidate division Zixibacteria bacterium SM23_73_2. RNAcentral describes it as "tRNA-Thr". It matches the Rfam family "tRNA". From Rfam's summary of the family: Transfer RNA (tRNA) molecules are approximately 80 nucleotides in length. Lineage: Bacteria; Pseudomonadati; Candidatus Zixiibacteriota. RNAcentral also lists the same sequence under 1 other name. The record is from RNAcentral.